RNAcentral lists this ribosomal RNA (116 nucleotides) under Gammaproteobacteria bacterium. Lineage: Bacteria; Pseudomonadati; Pseudomonadota; Gammaproteobacteria. The record is from RNAcentral.
CCUGACGAAAAUAGCGAGCGUGAACCACCUGACUCCAUCCCGAACUCAGAAGUGAAACCGCUUAGCGCCAAUGGUAGUGUGGGGUUUCCCCAUGUGAGAGUAGGUCAUUGUCAGGC